GUCCUAGCCGUAAACAAUGUGCACUUGGUGUAAGCCGGUUUUCGGUUUGUGCCGAAGUUAACGCGAUAAGUGCACCGCCUGGGGAGUACGGUCGCAAGUCUGAAACUCAAAGGAAUUGACGGGGGCCCGCACAAGCGGUGGAGCAUGUGGUUCAAUUCGAUGCAACGCGAAGAACCUUACCUGGGUUUGAACUGCAACUGAAUGAUUCAGAGAUGAAUCAGGCUAGCAAUAGACAGUUGUAGAGGUGCUGCAUGGCUGUCGU
This 262-nucleotide ribosomal RNA is filed under the name uncultured bacterium. RNAcentral's name for it is "partial 16S ribosomal RNA". It matches the Rfam family "Bacterial small subunit ribosomal RNA", at positions 793 to 1055 of the family's 1533-position model. The record is from RNAcentral.